UACAGAGGUGGCAAGCGUUGUUCGGAAUUACUGGGCGUAAAGGGCGCGUAGGUGGCCUUCUUAGUCAGACGUGAAAUCCCCAGGCUUAACCUGGGAACUGCGUCUGAUACUGGAUGGCUUGAGUUCGGGAGAGGGAUGCGGAAUUCCAGGUGUAGCGGUGAAAUGCGUAGAUAUCUGGAGGAACACCGGUGGCGAAGGCGGCAUCCUGGACCGACACUGACGCUGAGGAGCGAAAGCCAGGGGAGCAAACGGG
RNAcentral lists this ribosomal RNA (253 nucleotides) under uncultured bacterium. Its description in RNAcentral is "partial 16S ribosomal RNA". It matches the Rfam family "Bacterial small subunit ribosomal RNA", at positions 524 to 776 of the family's 1533-position model. The record is from RNAcentral.